GGAUAUAGCUCAGUGGUAGGGUGCUUGUCUAGCAGGCAUGGUGCCUUGGGUUCAAUCCCCAGUACCA
Molecule: transfer RNA, 67 nt
Filed under: Marmota monax (woodchuck)
Lineage: Eukaryota; Metazoa; Chordata; Mammalia; Rodentia; Sciuridae
Description: tRNA.Ala
Rfam family: tRNA
About the family: Transfer RNA (tRNA) molecules are approximately 80 nucleotides in length.
Source: RNAcentral